GACCUGAGCCAAUCGGACGCUUAGCUGACCGCGCCCCCCAGGCGCUCCAGAACACUCUAUCUGACACAAGGUGCACUGCGUUUUAUACACACGAGCCCGGCAAGUUGUGUCCCGCCGGGAAGUCCCAGGAGACACCAACGGGGCGAAGUCUGGUUUGAGCGGGCCGGCUUCCAGCACCGCCGCUUCGGAUGUCCGUUUGCUCCGACAUCGACCAUCCCCUGGGCUGGAGGGGGGUGACCUCGUCUGCGCUGGGGUCAGGAGUCCGCCGUGCCAGCUUCGUGACCGAUCACGACGCCAGCUCAGAGUCUCGACCCCUCCUGCCUGAGCGCUCCGCUCUUUGCUCUUGAGGAUUGUGGAACAGCCUCAGGGCCGGGCAUCUCCCGGCCUGUGCUUCUGGAAGAGAGAGUCCCAUGCUUGUCCUGCCCCUGGCGAGACCCGGGCUGUGGGUGCACGUCUUCCCCUGGAGCGGCCUUGCUCGGGCGAGCAGACGCUUGGGUCUCCUGUCCCUUCUCUCUGUCACUGCUGCCUUCCUGUUCUGGCACAUUCUGGGAAAUGGUCCCUGAGAGUCAAGUGGGCAAUGUGGUGGGGAGGGGGCGGGUUGGGGCUGACUUCUCAGACCCCGGGGGUUCCUGGGGCAUCUUGCACUCGGGAGGGCAGGGACAGUCUGAGUGAUGGGGAACGUGAAGACGCAGGGGCUGGCUUCCAGCACCGGCAGAGAGCCCAGCCGCUCGCCGCUCUCCGGAGGACAGAGCUUUGCGGAUCAGGGAUGCUGAGUCACGGCCGGCAGCGGGGGUGGAGGAGGCAGGACAGGACGGCAGACACAACACAGUCGUCCAGUAGGCACGAGAGCAAGUUCCCAGCCGCUGUCCUACAGAAGUCCCCACCGCUCAGGCUGUCAUCAUAGGCUGCGUGUCCCUCCCGGAUGCACGUGUGGAAGCCCAGGCCCCCCGCACCUCAGAGCGGGACUGCAUUCGGAGAUGGGGUCUUUCCAGCAGUGAUGAGGCUAAAAUACGACCGUUGGGGUGGGCCUGGCCCCGUAUGACUGUGUCCUCUGAGAGGGGAGACCGCAGGAGGACAUGGGGCAGACGGCGUCCACGCGCCCAGGAGAGAGGCCUCGGGAGGAGCUGGAUCCCAGUCUCCGGCCCCGGGGAACUGGGAAAGCGGGUGCCGUCGCAGCCGCCCGGUAGGCUGUGCUGUGUUUCGGCCGCCCAGACACGGAUGCAUCCGCGUGGCACGGAUUACAGAGAAUUUCGCUCCUGGGAGGUGAUCCCCCCAGCACUCCAGUGGGGUGCGGCAGGCUGGCACGUCACCCCCACGACGAGGGGCUCUGGUCCCACUGCGCACCAGGGGGGAGGAAAUCGCCCUUUGACCUUCCUUCGAGGGGCGUCACUAUGGGGCCAGGCCGGGGAGGCUGGUGGCCUUGGUGAGGCAGAGUCCUCCCCACCUGUGCUCCCGGCUCAGCUCUGCCGCGGCUCCCCACCCACCGCGGGCCUGACGCACACCCCUCCCGAGGUCCACGUGAUUACUUCGGGGAGCCCUGCUCUGUGCUGACAGUGCUGUGUUGCCCUGGCCUCGGCAGAUUGUCCACAACAAGGAAGCAUCUAGAAGCAACGGUCCCUCUGCGCCUUGUGAUUUGUCCUCAGAGUGUCCAAUGUGCCCGUCACUGCCUAGAGCCCCAUGCUUUGGCCUUCAAUGCAACACGUGCCAGUCUGGGACCAUCCCAGCCCCCUUCGUCUCCACGGGCACCUAGCAUGUUGCUGGAUGCCUGAUCUGCAGUGACUUGUGUUCAGGAAAGCUGCAUUUAAAAGAGAAUUCAAGGGGCGCCUGGGUGGCGCAGUCGGUUGGGCGUCCGACUUCA
Lynx canadensis (Canada lynx) is the source of this 1858-nucleotide long non-coding RNA. RefSeq lists it as uncharacterized. The record is from RefSeq and is a predicted model, not a curated record. Lineage: Eukaryota; Metazoa; Chordata; Mammalia; Carnivora; Felidae. The transcript has 3 exons.